This 458-nucleotide long non-coding RNA is filed under the name Mytilus galloprovincialis (Mediterranean mussel). The record is from RNAcentral. Lineage: Eukaryota; Metazoa; Mollusca; Bivalvia; Mytilida; Mytilidae.
AUAAGACUAAAAAUACUUUAUUAAUCCAAUCAUGGACCCUUGCGGGUUUUAAAUUUCAUACAAUGAUUACAAUGAUUUGUGUUAUAACAAUGAAAUAAUAAAAUGAAAUACAUGACAAUAGAACACUGAACAGUUAUUGCAUGCACAUGGAAGAGAAAGUAAUAUGGGAGACAAUCAAUUUCUGUAAGGAUUAUUCCCCUUUAAACAGAUAUGGUGUUUUGAGCUGCAUAAGAAUGAAAUGCAGCCCCAAUUGAUUAGAUAUAAGGGUAUUUUUCUCCCAUGUACACACAGCAACCAAUUACUAGAUAUUUAUGUAUAUAAUUAUAUUUCUUUCACAAUUGCAAGAAUAUGAUAAGCACCUUAGAGAUUUGACUGCAGUUUAUUAAUGCAUAUAUAAGCAUUUACAUAUUAAUAGAUGAAAUAUGCAUACACAUAGAUAGAGAAAUGUGUAUUUAAAU